RNAcentral lists this long non-coding RNA (331 nucleotides) under Trifolium pratense (red clover). RNAcentral's name for it is "long non-coding RNA (TPRA_LNC011032)". Lineage: Eukaryota; Viridiplantae; Streptophyta; Magnoliopsida; Fabales; Fabaceae. The record is from RNAcentral.
GACCUUAAAUUUUAGUUGUAAUUUAAUUUCUUGAAAGUCUAUGUUGUAAUUUCUUGAAAGUCUAUGCUUGAAUUUCCUUGGAAUACCUUAAUUUUAGUUGUAAUUUAAUUCAAAGUCUAUGUUGUGAUUUAAUUUCUUAAAUUUGCAAAUUAUUUUCAAAUGUGCUGCGGGUUUGGGUUUAGGUGGAAAAAACCUGAACCCAAUGGGUGUGGGCGUGGGUGUUGCUUUGCCACCCGAAUAGCCUUUGGGUUUGGGUUUGGGUUUGGGUGAUGAUUUCGGGUGUGGGUUUGGUAAGUGUCAAACCCGCACCCAUGGGCGCCCGUUGCCAUCC